This 460-nucleotide ribosomal RNA is filed under the name uncultured bacterium. RNAcentral describes it as "partial 16S ribosomal RNA". It matches the Rfam family "Bacterial small subunit ribosomal RNA", at positions 338 to 795 of the family's 1533-position model. The record is from RNAcentral.
CCUACGGGUGGCUGCAGUGAGGAAUAUUGGUCAAUGGACGAGCGUCUGAACCAGCCAAGUAGCGUGAAGGAUGACUGCCCUAUGGGUUGUAAACUUCUUUUAUAUGGGAAUAACAUGUUCCACGUGUGGGAUUUUGUAUGUACCCUAUGAAUAAGGAUCGGUUAAACCCGUGCCAGCAGCCGCGGUAAUACGGUGGAUCCGAGCGUUUUCCGGAUUUAUUGGGUUUAAAGGGAGCGUAGGUGGAUUGUUAAGUCAGUUGUGAAAGUUUGCGGCUCAACCGUAAAAUUGCAGUUGAAACUGGCAGUCUUGAGUACAGUAGAGGUGGGCGGAAUUCGUGGGGUAGCGGUGAAAUGCUUAGAUAUCACGAAGAACUCCGAUUGCGAAGGCAGUUCACUGGACUGCAACUGACACUGAGGCUCGAAAGUGUGGGUAUCAAACAGGAUUAGAUACCCCAGUAGUC